RNAcentral lists this ribosomal RNA (465 nucleotides) under uncultured bacterium. RNAcentral's name for it is "partial 16S ribosomal RNA". It matches the Rfam family "Bacterial small subunit ribosomal RNA", at positions 28 to 507 of the family's 1533-position model. The record is from RNAcentral.
GACGAACGCUGGCGGCGUGCUUAACACAUGCAAGUCGUACGGUAAGGCCCUUUCGGGGGUACACGAGCGGCGAACGGGUGAGUAACACGUGAGUAACCUGCCCACAACUUUGGGAUAACGCUAGGAAACUGGUGCUAAUACUGGAUAUGUGCUCCUGCUGCAUGGUGGGGGUUGGAAAGCUCCGGGGGUUGUGGAUGGACUCGCGGCCUAUCAGCGUGUUGGUGGGGUAGUGGCCUACCAAGGCGGCGACGGGUAGCCGGCCUGGGAGGGUGACCGGCCACAAUGGGGCUGAGAUACGGCCCAGACUCCUACGGGAAGCAGCAGUGGGGGAUAUUGCACAAUGGGCGCGAGCCAGAUGCAACAACGCCGCGUGCGGGAUGACCGCCUUCGGGUUGUAAACCGCUUUCAGCAGGGGCGAAGCUUUUUGUGACGGUACCUGCAGAAGAAGCACCGGCUAACUACGUG